UGCGUAUCUGUACACAGUAGCACUAUCAAGUAGUGGCAAGGCAGAAAUACCAAGUGAAGGCAUGCCAACGAUUUCAGCUCCCAAGAAAUGACUUUUUACACUUCCAUCCUCUGGGGAGAAGGAAAGAGAAAUGAGAAAGGAGGGAGGUGAAUGCGGCAACGACAGAUUGAUUUCAGCUGCUCUAUUUCUUUGCUCUCUUCCAAAGAAAAUGGAGGUGGAACGAUUCCAAAGGCAAAGCUCAGAUGGGGGCUGGCACUGCUGGGAGAGACCCAAAGCACCACACAUGCAGGUGGGACGUCGUGUCACCUUAGGACUUCUUCAAAUGCAAUGUAUCGUCAGCAACGGAAUAAGAAAUGGGGCUGUGAAGUUGCUGCAUGUUUGUGUUUAUUUUAUUUCCCGUCGAGUCGGAGGUAUCUGCACUGGUAUGCAGAUGGAUGAAUGCCUCCACUGCUCCACCUGCCUGCAGCCCACACACCAGUCCCAGUUGUGUUGUGUCACUCAAAAGUGGAUCAAAUAGCAAUAAAAACACCAAUCUUGGGGGGUAGCCA
Molecule: long non-coding RNA, 548 nt
Filed under: Phasianus colchicus (ring-necked pheasant)
Lineage: Eukaryota; Metazoa; Chordata; Aves; Galliformes; Phasianidae
Description: lncRNA (ENSPCLG00000011971.1)
Source: RNAcentral